RNAcentral lists this ribosomal RNA (237 nucleotides) under uncultured bacterium. RNAcentral's name for it is "partial 16S ribosomal RNA". It matches the Rfam family "Bacterial small subunit ribosomal RNA", at positions 100 to 334 of the family's 1533-position model. The record is from RNAcentral.
CCGGCACGGGUGAGUAACACGUAUCCAACCUGCCGUCUACUCUUGGACAGCCUUCUGAAAGGAAGAUUAAUACAAGAUGGCAUCAUGAGUCCACAUGUUCACAUGAUUAAAGGUAUUCCGGUAGACGAUGGGGAUGCGUUCCAUUAGAUAGUAGGCGGGGUAACGGCCCACCUAGUCUUCGAUGGAUAGGGGUUCUGAGAGGAAGGCCCCCCACAUUGGAACUGAGACACGGUCCAA